UCUCGGCUUAUCACCGGCAGUCCCCUUAGAGUGCCCAACUCAAUGAUGGCAACUAGGGGCGAGGGUUGCGCUCGUUGCGGGACUUAACCCAACAUCUCACGACACGAGCUGACGACAGCCAUGCAGCACCUAGUUUCGUGUCCUUGCGGACGCUACCAUCUCUGGUAACUUCACUAACUUUCAAGCCCGGGUAAGGUUCCUCGCGUAUCAUCGAAUUAAACCACAUGCUCCUCCGCUUGUGCGGGCCCCCGUCAAUUCCUUUGAGUUUCACCCUUGCGGGCGUACUCCCCAGGUGGAAUACUUAACGCUUUCGCUUAGCCGCUGACUGCGUAUCGCCAACAGCGAGUAUUCAUCGUUUAGGGCGUGGACUAC
This 372-nucleotide unclassified non-coding RNA is filed under the name uncultured Sphingobacteriaceae bacterium. RNAcentral describes it as "contains 16S-23S intergenic spacer region". The record is from RNAcentral. Lineage: Bacteria; Pseudomonadati; Bacteroidota; Sphingobacteriia; Sphingobacteriales; Sphingobacteriaceae.